AGAGUUUGAUCCUGGCUCAGAUGAACGCUUGCAGCAUACUUUACACAUGCUAGUCGGAUGGUUUAGACCAUGGCGUAUAGGUGAGUAAUACACAAGAAUUUGCCCUAAAAUCUUGGGAUAAUCAUAUUUAAAAGAUUUAUUUCUUUUAAAGAAUGCUUUGCAUUGAUAAUACUGGAUAAUAACAAAGGCAUAAUGCCGUUUUAGGAUAAGCUUGUGCAAGAUUAGGUUGUUGGUAGAGUAAAAGCCUACCAAGCCGAUGAUCUUUAGCUGUUCUGAGAGGAUGAUCAGCCACACUGGGACUGAGAUAAGGCCCAGGCUUUUUAGCCAGCAGUGAGGAAUCUUGGACAAUGAGCGAAAGCUUGAUCCAGUAAUGCUGCGUGAAUGAUGAUAGGCACAAAAGAUUUUUAAUUUAUUAUUAAUCGGCCGUAAAAUUCUUUCACUAGUGAAGAUAAUGACGUUAACUAGAGAAGAAGUCCCGGCUAACUUCGUGCCAGCAGCCGCGGUAAUACGAAGGGGGCGAGCGUUAUCCAGAAUUACUGGGCGUAAAGUGUUCGUAGGCGGUAUUUGUUGUUUUACGUAAAAGACUAGGUUUCAGUGCUUAGAUAUGCGUAUAAUACACUUUUACUUGAGUUUAACAGAGGGUAACAGAAUUCUAUACUAUAGGGGUAAAAUCCAAACAUUUAUAGAGGAAUGCCAGCGGCGAAGGCGGUUAUCUGGGUUAAUAUUUAAUUAUAUAAAACUGACGUUGAGGAACGAAAGCGUGGGGAGCAAACAGGAUUAGAGACCCUGGUAGUCCACGCUGUCAAAGAUGAAUGCUAUUGUUGGGAUGUUAUAUUCUGAUAAACAGUUAACACGUUAAGCAUUCCGCCUGAGAAGUACGAUCGCAAGAUUGGAACUCAAAGGAACUGACGGGGGUCUACACAAGUGGUGGAGCAUGUGGUUUAAUGCGAUAAUACGCGCGAAACCUUACCAGUUCUUGAAUAUUUCUACAUAAAAAUUUUAAUAGGUUUUUUAUUAUAUAGGCUAUGCUAUGCUUUAUAUAGAUUUACAGGUGUUGCACGGCUGUCGUCAGCUCGUGCCGUGAGGUGUUUGGUUAAGUCCUUUAACGAGCGUAACUCUUUUUUUAUAUUGGUACAUUUUUUAAUUCUAAAGAAAUACCACUUAUAUUACACAGCUAAUGAUAUAUUAGAGGAAGGUGAGAAUGACGUCAAGCCCAUAUGGCCCUUAUGAACUGGGCUACACACGUGCUACAAUGGUAUUUACAAAGAGUUUUGCAAUAAAGCAAUUUGGAGCUAAUCUUAAAAAAAUGCCGUGUUCGGAUUGCAGGCUGCAAUUCGCCUGCAUGAAGGUGGAAUCACAAGUAAUCGUAGAUCAGCACGCUACGGUGAACUUUUACUUAGGCCUUGCACACACCGCCCGUCACAUGCCGGGAGUAAAUUUUGUUUGAAAUCGCUUUUAGCUUUAAGCAAUUGAUUUUAUUUUCUAUCAGUUUUAAUUUCAAGGUUUUUAGUUUAGAGUGCUUAUUAUAGAAUUUGUAACCGGGAUGAAGUCGUAACAAGGUAACC
Molecule: ribosomal RNA, 1565 nt
Filed under: uncultured bacterium
Lineage: Bacteria
Description: bacterial SSU rRNA
Rfam family: Bacterial small subunit ribosomal RNA
Source: RNAcentral